GGUUCAGGCUCCUAACGACACAAGACUUUGCUGCAAUAUGUCAUCUGACGAUGAUGAAAGGAAUAUGAUGAUAAUAACAUUGUUCAACAAAGGCUUAAAACAAAAGGAA
Non-coding RNA from Maylandia zebra (zebra mbuna), 109 nucleotides. The record is from RefSeq and is a predicted model, not a curated record. NCBI's taxonomy places the organism in Eukaryota, Metazoa, Chordata, Actinopteri, Cichliformes, Cichlidae.